RNAcentral lists this transfer RNA (542 nucleotides) under uncultured Prochlorococcus sp. Its description in RNAcentral is "partial 16S-23S ribosomal RNA intergenic spacer". The stretch from base 212 to 284 matches the Rfam family "tRNA". The record is from RNAcentral. Lineage: Bacteria; Bacillati; Cyanobacteriota; Cyanophyceae; Synechococcales; Prochlorococcaceae.
CAGGGAGACAACAAAAUGUUUAAUAUUAUUAUUUUGUCACCUUAGGUCGAUCGGUAUCUCACGUUUUUAAUUUAUUAAAAAUUUCAUUUCCUAAGUUUUUCUAGGUCACACCCAUUAUUUUUCCUGGGCCAUUAGCUCAGGUGGUUAGAGCGCACCCCUGAUAAGGGUGAGGUCCCUGGUUCAAGUCCAGGAUGGCCCAUAUCUCUAUGUUGGGGGUAUAGCUCAGUUGGUAGAGCGCCUGCUUUGCAAGCAGGAUGUCAGCGGUUCGAGUCCGCUUACCUCCACUGAUUACCACCUCUUCCAUAAUCGGUAGAAAGGAAAUGUUUUGAGUUGUGAUCAAAUUCUGAAAAGAAUCUAGCUUCCUAAUGAAAUCAUUAAGAUGCUGGACUCAUUGAAUUAAUUUCAUUGUUUUCAGAGAACCUUGACAACUGCAUAGAUUAUUUUUAAAGACAAUAAGCAUCUUUAAUGAUGCAGAUUUAUUAUUUGUGCGAAUGCAUUAAUAACAAUUCUAUUAAGCUGAUGCUUCAAUUAUUGAAGUUAUU